Molecule: transfer RNA, 68 nt
Filed under: Marmota monax (woodchuck)
Lineage: Eukaryota; Metazoa; Chordata; Mammalia; Rodentia; Sciuridae
Description: tRNA.Ala
Source: RNAcentral
GUUGUAGCUCAGUGGUAGAGUGCAUGCCUAGCAUGUGUGAGGCACUGGGUUCAAUUCUCAUCACAACA